AAAUAACUAAUACACAUGCAUAAAAAAAAAUGUCGCACCUGAAAAAUGAUGUAGUCUUUUAGAAUUGACAUUUCUGUACCAACACGUGAAAAGGAUCUAUCUCCAAAAGUAAACAAAAAACAUUUUCAGUACCUCAUGAUAGGCCAACAGUUGCUCUACUUAACGGUAAAACCCUUUUGAGAAAAUAAUAUUCCGUUACAUUGAAAACUCAAUUUGAGUAAAGGAUCUAUAAACAUUCUAAAACCAGAACUGCCAUUACAUGGAUAUACAUCCUUUACUCCGAAACAAUUUUUCGCUGCUACUCCGCAAACAAACUCAAAAUAAUCAAUUUGACUCUUUAUUCAACAUAAAAACAUAGUUGCAAAUGAAUGCGAGCUUAUAACUAAAGCUAAAAAUAAGAAAAUAGCAAAGGGUGUAUAAACAGGUUAGACAAAAUAUUACGAGAGCUAGGUUCUAUCUACGAUAGUGCGUUGUUUUUUCAUGAAAAUUGAUAUUCCUUUAUUCUAACAUGGGAUGCUUCUUAAAAAUCGUUUGUCUAUCAUGAAAACCAAAAAUUUGAAGUGAUUUUUAAUUAGGGAUUUAAAAUAGGUUGUAUUUUUUUAAACGCGUUUUUCUUGAUACGCCAUAUAUAGAGAUAGAUGCUUUUUAUAUGUUGGUAAAGAUUUGACACUUUAUUCAACAUAAAAACAUAGUUACAAAUGAACGCGAGCUUAAAACUAAAGCUAGAAAUGAGAAAAUAGCAAAGGGUGUAUAAACACGGGAGAUAAAAUAAUACGUGAGCUAUAGGUUCUAUCUACGAUAGCGCGUUGUUUUUUCAUAAAAAAUUAUAUUCCUCUAUUCUAACAUAUAGGGGAUGCUUCUAAACAUCGUUUGACUUUUAUAAAAUGCAAACAUUUCAAGUGAUUUUUAAUUAGCGAUUUAAAAUAGGUUGUAUUUUCUUCAAACGCGUUUUUCUCGAUUCGCCAUAUAUGGAGAUACAUCCUUUCCACGUGUUGGUACAGAUUUCGUUUAGGGCAUCCGCAGCAAUCGCGAGCAAAGUGAAAAUGCUCACGAGUUUGAUCACUUUUAUACCGCACCGGGGGUUGGUAUAUGGGUGAGCAAAAUAGGGCCGUUGCCGUCGGGACCGAUAAAAUCACCAAAUUUGCUCACAAGAAAGGGGCGAGAGCAAACAGGCACUGAAAAAAUUUUACCGUUUAAUGCUGAGUUAAACAAACGACGUUCAGCGUGUAGAGUUUGUUUACAUUCCAUUUUGCGCAUCGGGUCGAACUGGUCCACUGAACACCGGCCGUGGUGGAACCGGCAGACUCGUUUACGGGAAGAGCAGAAAUUUUUCCAAUCAAGGUGCAUCUCCCAGGGUUAACAACAACGGAACUCCGAACCAGAAUCAUGGCCUUCAAUAACUUCAAAUCAAUCUUCGAAGUAACAGCAACAUCAACCACAAUCAGUUCAAAAAACAAAGAAAUUUUCAUUCGUGAUUUCAUCCGAAGCUCCAUGGUUCGCCGAUUCGACCCGAAGGAUUGCUAAAAGGAAAAAAGUCUCCGUUCUCGAAUUUCAAUAUUCGCUGGUGGCCGAUUCUGAUAAACAUUGUUCCGGUCGUGUAGCUGUGAUUUUAUUGGUCUGUGUGCUCUACGCAUAGCGAACCAGAAUACAUACAAAAAUAGGAAAAAUGAAAAUCAGCGCUUCUAAAAUAUCAGGUUCGUCUGCAAAAUGCUUUCGGGGAUACAAUUUGAUAUCGUUUGUUGGCAUUGGAAACGUCUUCCGGAAAGUCGAACAACUUAACCCAGUUGAGAGGACUAGGUCAGCUUCAAAUUGGCCUUCUAAUCAGUGAGCAGCUAAUCGAUUGAGACAGUGGCUCAAAAACAUAAUAGGAUGGCGUACUGGAUGAUGAUGUAUGUGUCGAACAACAGUGCAAACAUGUUAAAUUUGAAAUAUUUGUUAAGUGUUGUUUUCUACUAUUGAACUGUAAUAAAUAAUGUAUCAUAAA
Uranotaenia lowii is the source of this 1984-nucleotide long non-coding RNA. RefSeq lists it as uncharacterized. NCBI's taxonomy places the organism in Eukaryota, Metazoa, Arthropoda, Insecta, Diptera, Culicidae. The record is from RefSeq and is a predicted model, not a curated record. The transcript has 2 exons.